GUCCUACGGGGGGCAGCAGUGAGGAAUAUUGGUCAAUGGCCGCAGGGCUGAACCAGCCAAGUCGCGUGAGGGAUGACGGUCCUAUGGAUUGUAAACUGCUUUUAUACGGGAAUAACGCGCCUUACGUGUAGGGCUUUGCAUGUACCGUAUGAAUAAGGACCGGCUAAUUCCGUGCCAGCAGCCGCGGUAAUACGGAAGGUCCGGGCGUUAUCCGGAUUUAUUGGGUUUAAAGGGAGCGUAGGCC
This 244-nucleotide ribosomal RNA is filed under the name uncultured bacterium. Its description in RNAcentral is "partial 16S ribosomal RNA". It matches the Rfam family "Bacterial small subunit ribosomal RNA", at positions 335 to 577 of the family's 1533-position model. The record is from RNAcentral.